ACUUGAAUAGCUUAUUGUUUAGAGCGCGACGCUGAAGAUGUCGAUGAGGUUUUGUGUUAACCUUUAAGUG
Molecule: transfer RNA, 70 nt
Filed under: Coptotermes gestroi
Lineage: Eukaryota; Metazoa; Arthropoda; Insecta; Blattodea; Rhinotermitidae
Description: tRNA-Phe
Source: RNAcentral